CAAUAGCGUAUAUUUAAGUUGUUGCAGUUAAAAAGCUCGUAGUUGGAUUUCGGGUGGGACGCAGCGGUCUCGCAUUGCGUUUGUACUGCUGCAGCCCUCCUUCUUGCCGGGGGCGGCCUCUCGGACUUCACUGUCUGGGGGUCAGAAUCGGCGAUGUUACUUUGAGUAAAUUAGAGUGUUCAAAGCAAGCUUACGCUCUGAAUAUAAUAGCAUGGGAUAACACGACAGGACUCUGGCCUAUCGUGUUGGUCUAUAGGACCAGAGUAAUGAUUAAGAGGGACAGUCGGGGGCAUUCGUAUUCCGUUGUCAGAGGUGAAAUUCUUGGAUCACAGGAAGACGAUCUUAGGCGAAAGCAUUUACCAUGGAUGUUUNCAUUAA
RNAcentral lists this ribosomal RNA (378 nucleotides) under uncultured eukaryote. RNAcentral describes it as "partial 18S ribosomal RNA". It matches the Rfam family "Eukaryotic small subunit ribosomal RNA", at positions 592 to 976 of the family's 1831-position model. The record is from RNAcentral.